This 338-nucleotide long non-coding RNA is filed under the name Physcomitrium patens. Its description in RNAcentral is "long non-coding RNA (PPAT_LNC003625)". The record is from RNAcentral. Lineage: Eukaryota; Viridiplantae; Streptophyta; Bryopsida; Funariales; Funariaceae.
AAAUCCUAUUUUAAUCCUAAUUUAAAUUCUAAUAGACAUUAAUUAAAUCUUAGGUCAAAUCUUAAGUCUUAAAUCAAAUUCUAGAUAAACUCUAAGCCUUAAAUAAAAUCUUAAAUAAAUCCUAAAUCCUAAAUCAAAUCCUAGACAAAUCCUAAAUUCUAAAUCAAAUCCUAGACAAAUCUUAAUUAUUAAACCAAAUCCUAAAUUCUAAAUCAAAUCCUAGACAAAUCUUAAUUCUUAAACCAAAUCCUAUACAAAUUCUAAGUCCUAAAUCAAAUCCUAGACAAAUCCUAAAUCCUAAACCAAAUCCUAGACAAAUCCCGUCCUAAAUCAAAUCC